CUCGUGGACUGUGGGGUGGAGACAGACGACUGCUCCCUUCCUCCUCACUGCCUGUGUCAGGAUCGCUGUUGUCCUGUAGCCGCUCCUCAGGGCUGCCCAGCUCCUGCCUCUCCCGGUCCUCACAGGGUCGGUGCGCAGAGCGAUUUGUCCCCGGCAGAUCCAGGCGGUCAUGGCCUCGGCCAGGCUGUGCACAGCGGCAGCACUGAGCAGUGUGCAGGCUGCGGAUUCUGCUUAGCUGGGACCUGUGCUCUCCCCACUGUGCUCCCCGGCAGCACCACCACCUGAUCUGGUCCGUGUGACACCCAGGUGACUUCCUGUCAACACUCAGCCCUGCACUCCUCCAAAUGUGCCUGUGUAUGUGGUACCGGGAUGGAGCCCAGGGCCUUGGCACUGAGCUGCCUUGCCAGCCCUUCUUAUCGCUCACUGCAAGGCAGGGGCUCCCUACGCCACCCAGCCUGGCCUUGAACCUGUGAUGCGCCCAGCGUGCUGAGAUCGCAGGAGUGAGCUCCCACGCCUGGCUGCCAAGGCUGCUGCCUGACUGACUUGGGCCCCAAUCCCACCAGCUCACUGUCCUUCAGGUCCUGUGGGCCCGUGCCUGCCUCAGCCAGUCCUCCACUCCAGGUUGCUCACCUGCGGGGGCGUGAAGCUCAGGUACAGGGCAUCGCCGGCUGGGAGCGGCUCAGCAUGGCCCAGGGCCAGGGCGGCGAGCUGCCUGCGUGCCUCUUCGGCCUCCCGCUCCAGCAGGGCCCGGGCAUGCUCGCUCUCUCGCAGGCGGGCCUCCAGGCUGCCGGCCUCCGUCGCCCGCUCCUCACCCAGCCGCCUGCAGCGCCGCAGCUCCUCCUGCAGCAGUGCGUGUUGUCGCUGCAGCAGCGCCAGCUCUGUGGCCUGCUUUUCAGGAGCUGCAGGGGCAGCUCCUGCCCUGCCAGCUUCCCCGUCCCGAGAGUUAGCUCGGGACAGCUUCUCCCGCCGCUCAGGGCCUUCAGGGAACCGGGCUUCCAUCAAAGUGUCCUGCUGGGCCACAGCCGCCUGGGGUGGAACAGGGCAAGGGAGCAUGAGAAGCCCAUUUCCUUCUCCCACCCUCAGUGCCCACGGCUGGCCAGUGCUCCUGGAGAGCGAAGGAAACAAGGACAAGCUGCUGGCCUGUGGGAGGCUAUGCCUGCCUACACAGGCAUCUGGGCCUCGUGUUCCCCUGCUGCAGCCCUGCCUGCUGACCUGCAGCCCGUGCAGCAAUCCGUAGAGGUUGACCAGCCGCUGUAACACCUCCUGAGGACAGAGAAGGGGGGACACCGAAGCUGAGCAGCUACAGGUGUGAGGACAGCAUGCGCAGAGCUGCUCACCCACACCUUGACACCCCCGGCCUGCAGCUGCUCAGAUGAGAACACACCACCCCCAUCUCUCAUGCCACCAAGCUCUACCUCACCUCUUGGGGAGACCUCAGCUGAUUUCCAUUCCGAUCCUGCAGAAAUGGGCAAGGACGGGGGUCAGCAGGCAGGACUGACCAACCUACUGUCUGCCCACCCUCCAGCUAAGUCCCAGAAGCUCUGGAGAACCCACCUUCUGACUGGAGUCCGAGUCAGCUCUACAGAGCUCGAUGGAGCCGUUGAAGGUUCUGGCCUCGCCGUCUGUUGGAAAGGGGAAAGGACGAGCUGACCCCACUCCGCUAACCCAGCCCAUGCCCCCUCUCUGGUCCCCUCCCCACACUCACUGGCAGUGACCCCAGGACUUGUGUUCCCACUGCUGUCCAGUUCCAAGGGCUGGGCUGGCUCCCGGGACGUCAAGAGCAGCUCCACGCCAGGCCCCACCAGCAGGUCUUUCAAGCCCUCCACUGAGGAAAAGAGAGGAAGUGAGGACAGGUGUGUGGAGCGUGCAACACGCACGGGCCAUGCAGGCGUCUGGGGAAGGGGGAUUCACUCGCCCACUGCACAGGAGACCAAGGUUAUUAAGGAUGCCCACGGGGGACAGGAAUGCAGUGAGAGGCCAAGCAAAGCCAAGGACUGCGCCCCUCCUGCCCUGGAUUCCCAGGUGUGGGCACAGGACAGGCACUGGGGCAUUGACAGACUGCGGGCCGGGUGUGUGUGUGUGUGUGCGCGCGUGCCCAGGCCUCGCCGUGUGUCUGUAAGCUGUGAUGCCUCCUGUGGGGACGCCCUCACCCUCACGGAUGGCAUCCUGCAGCAGCCGCUCGCCACGGGGGGACUCGAGGGACUCGGAGCGGAAAAGGCCCCUGGGCAGGGUGGGCAGGGGCACCCCACUGAUGCCAUCCUCCUCCGCCUGGAAGUGGGUCAUCUCUGCAAACAGCCCAACCUUCUCCUGCAGCAGCUCCACCAGCGCCCGGUCCUUCUGCUGCAGCUCCACUGUGGGAAGCAAGAGGUGAGCAGGGAGGGCAGAUGGGGCCGGCCAGGGCCAGGACUUCGUUUACAAAAGAGAAAAACUUUUUUUGCGGGGGGGGGGGGGAAUGUAAAAAAUAACAUUUACUUUCUAUUUUUUUUUGGU
Molecule: long non-coding RNA, 2490 nt
Filed under: Heterocephalus glaber (naked mole-rat)
Lineage: Eukaryota; Metazoa; Chordata; Mammalia; Rodentia; Bathyergidae
Description: lncRNA (ENSHGLG00000039704.1)
Source: RNAcentral